UGCCUUACACAUUCAAGUCGAACGGCAGCAUCACAAGGGUAACUGAGUGGAUGGCGAGUGGCGAACGGGUGAGUAAAAUAUCGGAAAGUACCGUAUAGUGGGGGACAACUCGUGGAAAGAUGAGCUAAUACCGCAUACGCUCUAAGGAGGAAAGUGGGGGACCUUCGGGCCUCACGCUAUAUGAGCGGCCGAUAACUGAUUAGCUAGUUGGGGAGGUAAAGGCUCACCAAGGCGACCAUUAGUAGCUGGUUUGAGAGGACGACCAGCCACACUGGAACUGAGACACGGUCCAGACUCCUACGGGAGGCAGCAGUGGGGAAUUUUGGACAAUGGGCGCAAGCCUGAUCCAGCCAUUCCGCGUGAGUGAAGAAGGCCUUCGGGUUGUAAAGCUC
Molecule: ribosomal RNA, 392 nt
Filed under: uncultured organism
Description: bacterial SSU rRNA
Rfam family: Bacterial small subunit ribosomal RNA
Source: RNAcentral